AGCAUAUCAAUAAGCGGAGGAAAAGAAACUAACAAGGAUUCCCCUAGUAACUGCGAGUGAAGCGGGAAAAGCUCAAAUUUUAAAUCUGGCAGUCUCUGGCUGUCCGAGUUGUAAUCUAGAGAAGUGUUAUCCGCGCUGGACCGUGUACAAGUCUCCUGGAAUGGAGCGUCAUAGAGGGUGAGAAUCCCGUCUUUGACACGGACUGCCAGGGCUUUGUGAUGCGCUCUCAAAGAGUCGAGUUGUUUGUGAAUGCAGCUCAAAAUGGGUGGUAAAUUCCAUCUAAAGCUAAAUAUUGGCGAGAGACCGAUAGCGAACAAGUACCGUGAGGGAAAGAUGAAAAGAACUUUGAAAAGAGAGUUAAACAGUACGUGAAAUUGCUGAAAGGGAAACGCUUGAAGUCAGUCGCGUUGACCAGGGAUCAACCUUGCUUUUGCUUGGUGUACUUCCUGGUUGAUGGGUCAGCAUCAAUUUUGACUAUUGGAAAAAGGUCAAGGGAAUGUGGCAUCUUCGGAUGUGUUAUAGCCCUUGGUUGCAUACAAUGGUUGGGAUUGAGGAACUCAGCACGCCGCAAGGCCGGGUAUUUUACCACGUACGUGCUUAGGAUGCUGGCAUAAUGGCUUUAAUCGACCCGUCUUGAAACACGGACCAAGGAGUCUAACAUGCCUGCGAGUGUUUGGGUGGAAAACCCAAGCGCGCAAUGAAAGUGAAAGUUGAGAUCCCUGUCGUGGGGAGCAUCGACGCCCGGACCAGACCUUUUGUGACGGUUCCGCGGUAGAGCAUGUAUGUUGGGACCCGAAAGAUGGUGAACUAUGCCUGAAUAGGGUGAAGCCAGAGGAAACUCUGGUGGAGGCUCGUAGCGAUUCUGACGUGCAAAUCGAUCGUCAAAUUUGGGUAUAGGGGCGAAAGACUAAUCGAACCAUCUAGUAGCUGGUUCCUGC
Molecule: ribosomal RNA, 938 nt
Filed under: Cortinarius alboserrulatus
Lineage: Eukaryota; Fungi; Basidiomycota; Agaricomycetes; Agaricales; Cortinariaceae
Description: LSU rRNA
Rfam family: Eukaryotic large subunit ribosomal RNA
Source: RNAcentral